RNAcentral lists this ribosomal RNA (468 nucleotides) under uncultured bacterium. RNAcentral describes it as "partial 16S ribosomal RNA". It matches the Rfam family "Bacterial small subunit ribosomal RNA", at positions 28 to 507 of the family's 1533-position model. The record is from RNAcentral.
GACGAACGCUGGCGGCGUGCUUAACACAUGCAAGUCGAACGGAAAGGUCCUGCUUUUGUGGGGUGCUCGAGUGGCGAACGGGUGAGUAACCCGUGAGUAACCUGCCCUUGACUUUGGGAUAACUUCAGGAAACUGGGGCUCAUACCGGCUAGGAGCUCCUGCUGCUUGGUGGGGGUUGGAUAGUUUCGGCGGUUGGGGAUGGACUCGCGGCUUAUCAGCUUGUUGGUGGGGUAGUGGCUUACCAAGGCUUUGACGGGUAGCCGGCCUGAGCGGGGCACCGGCCAAAUUAGGACUGAGAUACGACCCAGACUAGUACGGGAGGCAGCAGUGGAGAAGAUUGCACAGUGGGCGGGAGCAUGAUGUAGCAAAGCAGCGUGCGGGAUGAGGGGCUGGGGGUUGUAAACCGAUGUCGCCUGUGACGAAGCGUGAGUGACGGUAAUGGGUAAAGAAGCACCGGCUAACUACGUG